CGUGUAGGCGGGGACACAAGUCAGAUGUGAAAUACCGUGGCUUAACCACGGGGCUGCAUCUGAAACUGUGUUUCUUGAGUGUCGGAGAGGAAAGUGGAAUUCCCAGUGUAGCGGUGAAAUGCGUAGAUAUUGGGAGGAACACCAGUGGCGAAGGCGACUUUCUGGACGAUAACUGACGCUGAGGCGCGAAAGCGUGGGGAGCAAACA
RNAcentral lists this ribosomal RNA (207 nucleotides) under uncultured bacterium. Its description in RNAcentral is "partial 16S ribosomal RNA". It matches the Rfam family "Bacterial small subunit ribosomal RNA", at positions 568 to 774 of the family's 1533-position model. The record is from RNAcentral.